GUACUAUACACUCCACAAUUCUUAUCACACAAACUCUUAUGUUUUUUUGAACGUAAAACAAGUGUUAAUUUUAUUUAACCAAAUAACAAAUUAAUAACUUUUGACAACGGAUCUCUUGGUUCUCCCAUCGAUGAAGAACGCAGCGAAACGCGAUAGGUAAUGUGAAUUGCAGAAUUCAGUGAAUCAUCGAAUCUUUGAACGCAUCUUGCGCUCCUUGGUAUUCCUCGGAGCAUGCCUGUUUGAGUGUCGUGAAUAUCUCCAUUAAAAGAUUUUUUCUUUUAACGGGUCCUUGGGCUUGGUGAUGAGAUUAGCCUCUUUGUAUCACCUUGCCUUAAAAGUAUGAGUGGAUGAGUGUCAGCCAUAGAUUUUUGUUAAGGCAAACCCAUAAAAAUCUUGUGCUUUUGUCAUCUGCUACCAAACAAACACACACAUACAUAAUUCUUUAUGUAUUCCUUUCUGGCCUCAAAUCAGGUAAGAUUACCCGCUGAACUUAAGCAUAUCAAUA
This 505-nucleotide ribosomal RNA is filed under the name Meira sp. IK-2015. Its description in RNAcentral is "eukaryotic LSU rRNA". The stretch from base 96 to 249 matches the Rfam family "5.8S ribosomal RNA". The record is from RNAcentral. Lineage: Eukaryota; Fungi; Basidiomycota; Exobasidiomycetes; Exobasidiales; Brachybasidiaceae.